RNAcentral lists this transfer RNA (76 nucleotides) under Caudoviricetes sp. Its description in RNAcentral is "tRNA-Ile". It matches the Rfam family "tRNA". Rfam says of the family: Transfer RNA (tRNA) molecules are approximately 80 nucleotides in length. Their secondary structure includes four short double-helical elements and three loops (D, anti-codon, and T loops). The record is from RNAcentral. Lineage: Duplodnaviria; Heunggongvirae; Uroviricota; Caudoviricetes.
GCCAGUGUAGGUCAAGUGGUUAGACCGCACGACUUAUAAUCGUGUAAUUUGGGUUCGAUUCCCAGGGCUGGCACCA